GCCAGACUCCUACGGGAGGCAGCAGUGGGGAAUAUUGCACAAUGGGGGAAACCCUGAUGCAGCGACGCCGCGUGAGUGAAGAAGUAUUUCGGUAUGUAAAGCUCUAUCAGCAGGGAAGAUAAUGACGGUACCUGACUAAGAAGCCCCGGCUAACUACGUGCCAGCAGCCGCGGUAAUACGUAGGGGGCAAGCGUUAUCCGGAUUUACUGGGUGUAAAGGGUGCGCAGGUGGCAGGGCAAGUCAGAUGUGAAAGCCCGGGGCUCAACCCCGGUAUUGCAUUUGAAACUGUCCGGCUAGAGUGCAGGAGAGGUAAGCGGAAUUCCUAGUGUAGCGGUGAAAUGCGUAGAUAUUAGGAGGAACACCAGUGGCGAAGGCGGCUUACUGGACUGUAACUGACACUGAGGCACGAAAGCGUGGGGAGCAAACAGGAUUAGAUACCCGUGUA
RNAcentral lists this ribosomal RNA (445 nucleotides) under uncultured bacterium. RNAcentral's name for it is "bacterial SSU rRNA". It matches the Rfam family "Bacterial small subunit ribosomal RNA", at positions 330 to 792 of the family's 1533-position model. The record is from RNAcentral.